UGAUUGAUAAUCAUGAGAUGAUUAUGUAUAUGUUGAUAUAAUUCAAUAAUCAUAAAUACUUGUUAGAGAACAAAGUAUUGGAUGGACCCGCAUUGAGAUCACUACAUGGGUCAUUGUCAUAAGUGAAUCUCAAAGUAGUUAUAUCUUAAUCCUUUGACUUGAGAUUGUCAUAGUUUCCAACAUAAGGACUGUUAUAUUUUGACAUAACCAAACGUUGUCUUUAAUCGGACAAUCAUAAAGGUUAUGAUUGAGCAUAAUAGAAAUUAUGUAGAGGAAAAUGAACAAUCAAGAUAGGAUUUGUCCCUCUCUAUGAGAGAGAUAUCUUCUAGGCCCCUCGAUGAGUGAGACUGAGAAAUGCAUGGCCGUGCUCAAAUGAAUUGAUAGUGUGAUCAAUAUCAUUUGAAUUUAUCAGUCUACUUAGAGAUCGAGAAAUUAUAAGUUUGAACAUUAUAAGUUUGACAUUGACCAUGACAUAUGUUCAAACUAGAUAUCGUGUGACAAAAGGAUUAAUUCAUGUUCUAUUUAUUAGGCUUUAUUGGACUAUUGAAUCUCAUAUUAGUUGGGUAGUCAUAAUGUCUUGCUAGAGGCCACUUAUGACUUAUGGGCCUUGUGGGACUGGGCCUAUUGCCAAUUAAUGUGAGCCUAUUGGGUCACACACAAAAGAACGUUGUUGAUGUGCUAUGUUAUAUUAAUGGGUUAAAAGCCCAAAACCCAUUAAUAUAAUUAAUAAUAAUAAAGUGUUAUUAUUAUUAAUCAUUAAUAUAAUUAAUAAUAAUAAAGUGUUAUUAUUAUUAAUAUUAAUUAUUAAUAUAAUUAAUAAUAAUAAGUGUUAUUAUUACUAAUAUUAAUUAUUAAUAUAAUUAAUAAUAAUAAAGUGUUAUUAUUAUUAAUCAUUUAUUAUUAUGAGAUAAUAAUAUUUAAAAGAUCUGCAGUCUAUCUGUAACUGUUACAGAUAAAGGAUUCUAUCACAUAAGAUAUUUGAGUAUCUGCGAGAUUGUAUUAGUUGGUUAUGAACACAACUCCUUUUAGGAAAAGAAGUUGUAGGAAAAAUAGAACUCCUUUUAGGAAAAGGAUUUGUGUAAAAAUAAAAGACUGAAACAUAUAAAUACCCCUUCUACGAAUUGUAGAGUGCGUGUGUUUUUGAGAAAACUCAGUCUAAAAGAUUGCAGAUUGUGGAGCACAUAAUCUAUCCAUUUUUGAGAGAGCUAGCACUCUAGAAGGAUAGAAGACGUUCGUGUGGAUAGUGUUCGUUUGAAAAGGCAGCACCAUCAGUCCAACAUUGUUUUUUCUUGGCGAGAUUAACAGGUUAGUAUCAUAUCUAUCUUAUUAAUUAAGCGAAGCACUCGGAUUCUGGAAAAGAAAAUCCAAAAUUUUAUUUUUUCGCUGCGCAAUUGGGUUGCAAUUAAUCUCUGGAUUUCCCAACAGUGGUAUCAGAGCCUGGUUGUGCUUUUCGUUUAAAAUUAAUUAUGCCAUGAUUGCUAUUAUAUAUGUGAUAUAUAUUUAUUAGAAUGACAUGAUAAUUAUGGUUAAAUUUAUGGAUGAAUGAUUGGAUCAUUUAGAUUAUUAGAAAAAUUAAAUUAAAAUUGUUCUUUUACAUCUAGAAUCAAAAUUGUUUUGAUUCGUUGUUUUAAGUUUUAAUUGUUAAAAUUAAAACAACAAUAAUAAAAAAAAAGAGGAAAUCAAUUUCUGGAAAAAUCGUGUUCAUGAGGAACGCGAUUUGGCCAUGGUCAAUCUGAGGACACCCAAUGACGGGCGUCGGACGCCUGUCACCUGUCACCCAAUGAAGCUGUCCCUGAACCACCUCCUGCUGAUGCUACUAAUGCUGUUAAGAACAAGUAUAAGAAGCAUAUGGAUGAUUCUAAUGACAUUGGAUGUCUUAUGUUGGCAACUAUGUGACAAGAACUUCAGAAGGAUCUGGAGCACCUUGAGGUCUAUGAGAUGAGUGUCCAUCUCAAACAGGCUUUCCAACAACAAGCUAGGCAGGACAGGUAUGAAACCACCAUCGCAUUGCAUGAUUGCAAAAUGGCUAAAGGUGAUUCAGUUAGUGCUCAUGUUUUAAAGAUGAAAGGUUACAUUGAUCACCUUGCUAGGCUUGGCUAUCCUCUUAGUUUAGAACUCUCCACGGAUUUGAUCCUACAUUCUUUACUUGGCAGUUUUUCUCAGUUUGUCAUGAACUAUAACAUAAACAAUAUGGAGAAAUCUAUUCCUGAGCUGCAUGGGAUGCUAAAAACAGCUGAGGUAAAUAUCAAGAAAAGGCCUACCCAAAUUUUGAAUGUCAAUAAGGGUAAGCCCAUGAAAAAUAAGGGGAAGCCCAAGUCUAAAGGUGGUAAUGGGCCUAAGGGACGAGGCAAGCCUAAAUGGCAAUCCAAGGCAAAAGUUCCUAAGGAAAUAGUUCCUAAGGAAGGAAUUUGCUUCCAUUGCAAGGAACCAGGGCAUUGGAAGAGAAAUUGCAAACUCUAUUUGGAUGAGUGCAAGAAGAAGAAGAGUAGUGAGACUACGACUUCAGGUAUUUAUGUUAUAGAUAUUAAUUUAUCUAUUUCUACUUCAUGGGUAUUAGAUACCAGAUAUGGUUCUCACAUUUGUACAAAUGUGCAGAGUCUCAAAAGGAGUAGAAAACUGAAAAAGGGCAAAGUGGACCUACGUGUAGGCAAUGGAGCAAGAGUUGCUGCCAUAGCUAUAGGGACUUAUGAACUUAUUUUGCCCGAUGGGUUUUUGUUAGUUUUGAAUAAUUGCCUUUAUGUUCCUAUUUUGAGUAGGAAUAUUAUUUUAGUUUCUGUUUUGGACGAUGAAAGUUUUUCAUUUCUUAUUAAGAAUAAGAAAUGCUCCAUUAAUAAAAAUGAUUUGCUUUAUUGUAUUGCAAAUUCAUAUGAUGGCCUUUAUGUCCUUGAUCUAGAUGUUUCUAGAGACAACAAUAUCUAUAACAUAACUUCUAAGAAAACUAAGCCAAAUGAGUUAAACCCAACAUAUUUAUGGCACUGUCGUCUUAACCAUAUGAAUGAGAAUCGCAUAUCUAAGCUCCAUAAGGAUGGUUUAUUAGAUUCAUUUGAUUUUGAAUCAUUUGAAAAUUGUGAAUCUUGUUUACUUGGUAAGAUGACAAAGGACCCUUUUACUGGACAAGGUCAAAGGGCUUCAGACUUAUUGGGCUUAGUACAUACAGAUGUAUGUGGCCCACUAAACAUUAGUGCCAGGGGAGGUUAUCAGUACUUCAUUACAUUCACUGAUGAUUUCAGUAGGUAUGGCUAUGGCUACCUAAUGAAACAUAAGCAUGAAUCUUUUGAAAUGUUUAGAACUUUUCAAAAUGAAGUACAAAAUCAACUUGGUAGAACUAUUAAAAUGCUUCGAUCUGAUCGAGGUGGUGAAUAUUUGAGCCAAGAGUUUGAUGAACAUCUUAGAAACUGUGGAAUUGUUUCACAAUUAACUCCUCCAGAAAGUCCACAAUGGAAUGGUGUUUCUGAAAGGAGAAAUUGAACUUUAUUAGAUAUGGUUUGAUCUAUGAUGAAUCAAACAAAUCUCCCUUUAUCGUUUUGGGGUUAUGCCUUGGGAAACAACUGCAUUCAUUCUAAACCGAGCGGUUGAAAAGACACCAUAUGAGUUAUGGACUGGGAAAAUGCCCAGUUUGUCUUUCCUUAAGAUUUGGGGUUGUGAGGCUUAUGUGAAACGUCCAGUUUAAGAUAAGCUAGCUCUAAAAUCUAUCAAGUGCAAUUUUGUGGGGUAUCCUAAGGAAACCAAAGGAUACUACUUUUAUACUCCCUCAGAGAACAAAGUGUUUGUUGCUCAAAAUGGUACCUUUUUGGAAAAGGAAUUUAUCUCUUAGAGAUUAAGUGGGAGUACAGUGCGACUUGAGGAAACUCAAGCACCACAAGAGAGCAUUGAACCACCGAUAGAACCACUUUCAGAACCACAAACAGUUGUGGAAACUGAAAGGGUGACACAAGUCCCACGCAGAUCUGAUAGGACACGUCAUCAGCCUGAGAGAUAUGGAUUUCUCAUGACUGAUAAUCGUGAACUUUUGCUCAUUGAUGAAGAUGAACCUUGUGUUUACAAGAUGGUUAGUGGGAGUGCAGUUGUGUUUCUAGUCCUAUAUGUGGAUGACAUAUUACUCAUUGGAAAUGAUAUCCCUACCUUGCAAAAGGUUAAGACUUGGUUUGGGAAUUCUUUUUCAAUGAAGGACUUAGGUGAGGCCGCAUAUAUCCUUGGUAUUAAGAUCUAUAGGGAUAGAUCCAAGAGGAUAAUCGGUCUGAGUCAAAGUACUUAUAUUGACAAGGUGCUGAAAAAGGUUGAGCAUGCAAGAUUCCAAGAGAGGAUUCUUGCCCAUGUCUCAUGGUAUUCAUCUUAGCAAGAAUCAAUGUCCUAUGACAUCUGAUGAGCGAGAACGGAUGAAUAAGAUCCCUUAUGCUUCUGCUAUUGGAUCUAUCAUGUAUGCCAUGUUAUGUACUAGACCAGACGUCUCAUAUGCCUUGAGCACAACAAGCAGGUAUCAAGCAGAUCCCGGUGAAAGUCACUGGACAGCUGUUAAGAAUAUCCUAAAAUACCUUAGAAGGACUAAGGAUGCAUUCCUAGUUUAUGGAGGUUUGGAAGACGAGCUAGUUGUAAGUGGUUACACAUAUGCUAGUUUCCAAACCGACAUAGAUGACUUCAGACCGCAGUCAGGAUUCGUAUUCAAUUUAAAUGGUGGAGUUAUUAGUUGGAAGAGUUCCAAGCAGAGCACUAUAGCAGAUUCUACAAUAGAAGCUGAGUAUAUAGCAGCACCAGAUGCAGCUAAAAGGGCAGUCUGGUUGAAGGAAUUUAUCUCAGAGUUGGGAAUGGUUUCCAGCAUUGCAAAUCCUAUGGACCUUUAUUAUGGUAAUAACGGUGCCAUAGCACAGGCAAAGGAGCCCAGAUCUCACCAGAGAUCUAAAACAUAUACUCAGGUGAUAUCACCUUAUUCGAGAGAUUAUUGAUAGAGGAGAUAUCAAAAUAUGCAAAGUAGACACAAAUGACAAUAUUGCAGAUCCACUGACUAAGCUUCUUUCACAGGUGAAGCAUGAUCAGCACACUAGGUCUAUGGGUAUUAGAUACUUAUAUGAUUAGGCCUAGUGCAAGUGGGAGAUUGUUAGUGUAUAUGCCCUAGGCCAUUAUCUUGGACCUUUUUAUAUGUCAUUUUGGUUAUUAAUAAAAGAGGUUUUUAUCAUUAUUAUUUGUUUGCAUGUUACAUAAUAAUGAUUAUCAUCCCUAGUUACUUAUUAGUAUGUUGAUAAUAAUAAAAUAUAACUGGUAUGAUUCUUGAUUGAUAAUCAUGAGAUGAUUAUGUAUAUGUUGAUAUAAUUCAAUAAUUAUAAAUACUUGUUAGAGAACAAAGUAUUGGAUGGACCCGCAUUGACUUGAGAUUGUCUUAAUCCUUUGACUUGAGAUUGUCAUAGUUUCCAACAUAAGGACUGUUAUGUUUUGACAUAACCAAACGUUGUCUUUAAUCGGACAAUCAUAAAGGUUAUGAUUGAGCAUAAUAGAAAUUAUGUAGAGGAAAAUGAACAAUCAAGAUAGGAUUUGUCCCUCUCUAUGAGAGAGAUAUCUUCUGGGCCCCUCGAUGAGUGAGACUGAGAAAUGCAUGGCCGUGCUCAAAUGAAUUGAUAGUGUGAUCAAUAUCAUUUGAAUUUAUCAGUCUACUUAGAGAUCGAGAAAUUAUAAGUUUGAAUAUUAUAAGUUUGACAUUGACC
RNAcentral lists this long non-coding RNA (5693 nucleotides) under Manihot esculenta (cassava). RNAcentral's name for it is "long non-coding RNA (MESC_LNC010919)". Lineage: Eukaryota; Viridiplantae; Streptophyta; Magnoliopsida; Malpighiales; Euphorbiaceae. The record is from RNAcentral.